GGGGAAACCGGGCGGGGUGCUAAUACAUGCAAGUCGAGCGAACGGACGAGAAGCUUGCUUCUCUGAUGUUAGCGGCGGACGGGUGAGUAACACGUGGAUAACCUACCUAUAAGACUGGGAUAACUUCGGGAAACCGGAGCUAAUACCGGAUAAUAUUUUGAACCGCAUGGUUCAAAAGUGAAAGACGGUCUUGCUGUCACUUAUAGAUGGAUCCGCGCUGCAUUAGCUAGUUGGUAAGGUAACGGCUUACCAAGGCAACGAUGCAUAGCCGACCUGAGAGGGUGAUCGGCCACACUGGAACUGAGACACGGUCCAGACUCCUACGGGAGGCAGCAGUAGGGAAUCUUCCGCAAUGGGCGAAAGCCUGACGGAGCAACGCCGCGUGAGUGAUGAAGGUCUUCGGAUCGUAAAACUCUGUUAUUAGGGAAGAACAUAUGUGUAAGUAACUGUGCACAUCUUGACGGUACCUAAUCAGAAAGCCACGGCUAACUACGUGCCAGCAGCCGCGGUAAUACGUAGGUGGCAAGCGUUAUCCGGAAUUAUUGGGCGUAAAGCGCGCGUAGGCGGUUUUUUAAGUCUGAUGUGAAAGCCCACGGCUCAACCGUGGAGGGUCAUUGGAAACUGGAAAACUUGAGUGCAGAAGAGGAAAGUGGAAUUCCAUGUGUAGCGGUGAAAUGCGCAGAGAUAUGGAGGAACACCAGUGGCGAAGGCGACUUUCUGGUCUGUAACUGACGCUGAUGUGCGAAAGCGUGGGGAUCAAACAGGAUUAGAUACCCUGGUAGUCCACGCCGUAAACGAUGAGUGCUAAGUGUUAGGGGGUUUCCGCCCCUUAGUGCUGCAGCUAACGCAUUAAGCACUCCGCCUGGGGAGUACGACCGCAAGGUUGAAACUCAAAGGAAUUGACGGGGACCCGCACAAGCGGUGGAGCAUGUGGUUUAAUUCGAAGCAACGCGAAGAACCUUACCAAAUCUUGACAUCCUUUGACAACUCUAGAGAUAGAGCUUUCCCCUUCGGGGGACAAAGUGACAGGUGGUGCAUGGUUGUCGUCAGCUCGUGUCGUGAGAUGUUGGGUUAAGUCCCGCAACGAGCGCAACCCUUAAGCUUAGUUGCCAUCAUUAAGUUGGGCACUCUAAGUUGACUGCCGGUGACAAACCGGAGGAAGGUGGGGAUGACGUCAAAUCAUCAUGCCCCUUAAGAUUUGGGCUACCACCGUGCUACAU
RNAcentral lists this ribosomal RNA (1220 nucleotides) under Staphylococcus aureus. RNAcentral's name for it is "bacterial SSU rRNA". It matches the Rfam family "Bacterial small subunit ribosomal RNA", at positions 26 to 1230 of the family's 1533-position model. The record is from RNAcentral. Lineage: Bacteria; Bacillati; Bacillota; Bacilli; Caryophanales; Staphylococcaceae.